AGGGCCCCAUGGGUGUUCCUCUGGAAUAUGCACAUUCUUUGGAAGAAGAUUACCUUCCCCAAUAGAGAAAGACUGUUCUUUCAUUGAAGGUAUAGAAGGGGUUACCAGACCCUACUAGAACCUCCAAGCAAUCUCUUGAAGUCUUUUUUUUUUUUUUAGGAGAAAGUGGGUAGUUAUGGCUCCAGGCACAGACAAAUGAGAUGUUACAUCAAGCAAUCUGACUGUCUUG
Molecule: small nuclear RNA, 229 nt
Filed under: Mus spretus (western wild mouse)
Lineage: Eukaryota; Metazoa; Chordata; Mammalia; Rodentia; Muridae
Description: predicted gene, 54355 (ENSMSPG00010004913.1)
Rfam family: 7SK RNA
About the family: 7SK was discovered as an abundant small nuclear RNA in the mid-70s but a possible function has only recently been suggested. Two independent studies have found that 7SK RNA binds the CDK9/cyclin T complex (known as elongation factor P-TEFb). P-TEFb activates transcription by phosphorylating the C-terminal domain of RNA polymerase II.
Source: RNAcentral